CGAUAAGUGGAGCGACUAGCUUUUGUCGAUCAGAUGUCUGAUCGUCCGACUAAUCGUCGCCUAAUCGAGAUUAAUCGUCCGACUUGCUGCUUGGUCGGUCAGGUUGCCGGCCAAAAGAUGUCCAGCCCGCCGCCUGUACUGGGCUCAAUUAGGCCCAUUAGGGUUAACUAUAUAGAAGCCACUUCUGUGCACCACGCAGGCACAAACCUUCACUCGACUGCUCGAGUCGAGCCGCCUGCGUCACGCCGCCGCCGUCGCCUGCGUCGUGCCGCCGCCGCCACUCGCAUCACGCCACCGCCCGACCGCCUGUGUCACGCCGCCCGGGUCACGCGGCCGCCAGCUCGCAUCACGCCGUCGCCUGACCGCCUGCGUCACGUCGCCUGGCUGCCGCUCGCCGAUGUGGCGGCAUCUGAAGAUGAGCUCCUCCUCCGAUGAUUUCGAUGCACAGCGGCAAAGGCAGUUUCAGCAGCAGAACAGCAAGGAUAUGGAGUGUGGGACAAGAAUAUGGAGUUCUGGACAGUUCAAACAUCAAAUCUCACAAGAUAUCACGUGUAGUGUAAAAGCAAAGUUAUGGUAGCAGAGAAGGGACAAGAAAUGUGAUGUCAGCAAUGACGAAACAAAGAUUCCUCCCAAUAGGAACAUUGCAAGUUGUGACUAUCAUCUGGAUAAAUGCCCCGAAAAAUCUCGUGAUUCUUAUCAACUGCGCUCAGUGUUAACAAUGGAAAUUAACAUAGCAACCUGCUACUACACUGAGCUGUAUAGUAAUGUGGUUUGCAGCUAACCCUUAUGCUACACAAGAUUCAUGGUUAUUCAUAUCUAAUAUCUUCUUAGCUGUCACUGUUGGUUAAGUAAUCAGUGUAUCUGCAACCAGUAUUUCUACCCUUGAGAACUGCACCCUUUGUUAAUUAUUUGGAGCAAGAAAGAACAAGAAAUCAUGUAGAUGAGGUAAAGUUCCCUAUCUAUGAUCGUGCAGCAUAGUAGCAUCACAUUUCUGUCAACCAUGCAGGCAUGCAUACAGCUUCUUUGUUUUACAACAUCUGUUUUUGGAAUACAUGCAUCGUACAUGUUUUAUUUUAUAAAAUGUGAAUUUUCUUUUGUUAAAAGCUUAGAACCCAUUUCAGGCAUUCUACUUAGCCUGCAGAAUUAGGGAACAAUUUGAAACUUCUUGUUUUGGUGCAUAUUUGAUGGAGGCCAUUACAUAUUACGGUUCUCUGGCACUUGACCGCAAGUAGGCAUUUGGGUGGGCCAAGGAUAACAGCAUCUGCAUAUAUUAUAUGAUGUAUCUGAUAAGUGUUAAUCUUGUGGGCUAAGCUACAGGCUGCAACUAUCAAAAUUGUUGAAACAUCUCCAAAUUUGUGGGGAAGGGCUAUACCAACCAGACGAGCUAACUGAACUACAAUUAUGUGAAACAGGAAAAACAACAAGCUACUGUCUGUACGGUGAUUCAUAUUAUUUGUCCACUGUUCAAAUUGUCAUUUUGGUGUCUCAAGAAUUGAAAUAAUUUUGUUUGCAAAUAAAUUUCCACCAGCUGGUGGACAGGACAUUUUAUAAACCAUAAUACUGAUAGCCUGCAGUCAUAUGGUCAAUGCUUUGAGGUGAGUUUGGAGAUGUCAGUUUCUUUUCUACUUGUUGCAGAGGAUAAUCAUCUAUUCCUUCUGAACAAGAAUGAAGGGCAUGUGCUUUCAGUGGGUUGCCAUAGGAUGGGGAAACUGAAAUUGAAGUUCUUAUUCUCCUCAAUGAUUUUAGAGCACUGAAAAGAGCCUGCAAUUGAAGGCUUCUGUCAGAAAUACAAGGGCGUGGGGAGGUCUCCACCCUACACUCCUACAGAAGCUUUCCUUUUUGUUACUUGUGCAAAUAUAAGAAACUAACACUAAAUAAUUUGUUGUCAGGUUUGCUGAUCUGAGGGUGAAUAUGUGAUGUUGCCCCUGUUGUUAAAUGUAAAAAAUAAAAUAAGUAUUAGAUUUGUAUUGUUGGUAGUUCAAUUGAGGCAUUCAUUGCCUCUGUGGUCAGCUAAACCCGUGACUGUGCUAAUGUAACUUAGAGGUUGGUAUUAAAAUUUUCAAUUGUAUGUGUGUGCUUCCAUGUACAAGCUUAUACUAUCCCAUCAAAGACAUCACUUGUACAAGCUAGAUUAGGGACUGAAUUCGAGGUGCAAGUUGCAUUCUUAUGUUAAUCAUGAAUUCCUGAUUGUAUAUUAAAAAAAUCAGUUCAUUGUGUUGUUA
Panicum virgatum (switchgrass) is the source of this 2222-nucleotide RNA transcript. It is a transcript of the gene named putative E3 ubiquitin-protein ligase SINA-like 6, with no coding region annotated. The record is from RefSeq and is a predicted model, not a curated record. Lineage: Eukaryota; Viridiplantae; Streptophyta; Magnoliopsida; Poales; Poaceae. The transcript is spliced from 5 exons.